AACCUAUGGUCCACGCCGUAGGAUUGCCCAGCCUUCUGCAUGUGGAUCCGUGUACCAUUUGAAUUCAAAAAAGGAUCAAUUAAGGCCCAAACAGCCAGAGGCCUCGUUAGUCUCUUUGAUUCCAGCGAUUAGCUGGCACAGCCCUAGGCCUGCGGAGGCUAGUUUUUUUUCAUCGUAAUGAUGGAUGGCACACUUAUCUAAAAGCUUUAGCACUUGAGCCGAUGGAUGUUGGGCAGGACCAUGAAUAAAAAAAGCUAUCCUGUGCUCAUUCAUUUGUGGUACUGUUCAUCUUCCAGGCUGCUACAUAUAGCGGAUGAGGAGCCCAUUCUGCCAACAACUCCUUUGCUCGCAGCAUGAGAGCUCCAUCCGGCAUGGAUAGCGAAGAAGACACCUCUUUAGACCAUCAGCACAUGGCUGUUGAUCUCACUCCUGCCGGCAUGGAUACGCUCUCUAACAGAUCAAACAAAGGCAUCACCGAGCUAUCAGAUUGUUCUAAUCCUGGCUGUGGUGUUGUUGAUUCAAUCACAGCGAAUCCAGAGUUCUCAGAACUGCAUUCUGGAAGAUCGGCACCUAAGCGGAAAAGGUAGUACAUUUUGUUUUUUUACACUGGGAUUUUUUAACUAUUGUUAGAAGUAGUUUUUCUGUGGUGUACGAUGGUGAUAAUGGCAUAAUUUAUGAACUGUCAAGUGUCGUUUGUGUUGUUAAUUAGUCUUGUUCGAUAUUUACAGCGAGGUUUUCAAUAGUGUGAACCAUCAGCAAAACGUCAGGUUUUGUGUGUAAAUGACAGCUAGUUUUUUUUAUUAGUACUAUUUUAGACUAUAUUUGCCGCCGUUAAAAUUCAUCAAUGUUUGUGAGUACGACAGGAUGUUCUUCGGAAAACAUAUCAACACAGUCUUUUAAGCAACACAAUCCAAAAAAUCGUGCUUAAAAAAAUAUUUAGCAUAGUUUUGUAAGCACACUUUGCAAACAGGUCAUGUUUUAUUACUCCUCGGUUGUUUUGUUUCUCUACGUUUUUGCUGGGUCGUUACGUUAUUAUAACUUUGUUUUAAUACUCUAUAACGGUUUUGCCGAAAUAUGUAGUAAACGGGAAGCGUUUGAAGGAAUGGACCACAGAAUUGCCCCUGCAGUAAAAAGUCCGUUCCAGAAGUGUGUGGAGCGCGCUGCUUUUAGGGGUGAUGCAGAUGUGUUCGUUCCAAGUGUUGGAACAAUCUUUGAUUCAAAGGAUGAAGCCUACGAUUUCUACAACAUGUUCUCUUGGGAGUGUGGUUUUGGUAUUCGCUAUGGAAAGAGUAGCACUAAUGACAAAAAUUACAGAACAAUGCAGGACAUCGUUUGCCAGUGUGCGGUAUGCAUCAUUUUAAUCUUAAUUGUUUGUUUUUGUCUCGGUCGGAUUAUUGGUUCAUACUUUUUUUGUCUGCCUUUCACUCUGUGUCUUUACCAUUAUUACAGGGCAAAGAAGAAAGGC
This is a non-coding RNA of Aegilops tauschii subsp. strangulata, 1465 nucleotides long. NCBI's taxonomy places the organism in Eukaryota, Viridiplantae, Streptophyta, Magnoliopsida, Poales, Poaceae. The record is from RefSeq and is a predicted model, not a curated record.